This 469-nucleotide ribosomal RNA is filed under the name uncultured bacterium. Its description in RNAcentral is "partial 16S ribosomal RNA". It matches the Rfam family "Bacterial small subunit ribosomal RNA", at positions 28 to 507 of the family's 1533-position model. The record is from RNAcentral.
GACGAACGCUGGCGGCGUGCUUAACACAUGCAAGUCGAACGGUGAAGCGAGUGCUUGCACUCGUGGAUCAGUGGCGAACGGGUGAGUAACACGUGAGUAACCUGCCCAUCACUCUGGGAUAAGCACUGGAAACGGUGUCUAAUACUGGAUACGACCAACCCUUGCAUGGGGUGUUGGUGGAAAGAUUUAUCGGUGAUGGAUGGACCCGCGGCCUAUCAGCUUGUUGGCGGGGUAAUGGCCCACCAAGGCGACGACGGGUAGCCGGCCUGAGAGGGUGACCGGCCACACUGGGACUGAGACAGGGCCCAGACUCCUACGGGAGGCAGCGGUGGGGAAUAUUGCACAAUGGGCGAGAGCCUGAUGCGGCGACGCCGGGUGAGGGAUGACGGCCUUCGGGUUGUAAACCUCUUUCAGCAGGGAAGAAGCGAAAGUGACGGUACCUGCAGAAGAAGCACCGGCUAACUACGUG